UACAGAGGUCUCAAGCGUUGUUCGGAUUCAUUGGGCGUAAAGGGUGCGUAGGUGGCGCCAUAAGUCAGGUGUGAAAUCUCGGGGCUCAACCUCGAAACUGCACUUGAUACUGUGGUGCUUGAGUACUGGAGAGGAGAUUGGAAUUUACGGUGUAGCAGUGAAAUGCGUAGAUAUCGUAAGGAAGACCAGUGGUGAAGGCGAAUCUCUGGACAGUUACUGACACUGAGGCACGAAGGCCAGGGGAGCAAACGGG
RNAcentral lists this ribosomal RNA (253 nucleotides) under uncultured bacterium. RNAcentral's name for it is "partial 16S ribosomal RNA". It matches the Rfam family "Bacterial small subunit ribosomal RNA", at positions 524 to 776 of the family's 1533-position model. The record is from RNAcentral.